CCAGGGGCUGCUAUCAGCAUGAAAAGAAGAAUCUACCUGCCCACCAGAGUAUGAGCGACCCAACCCAGCUGGACUGCAGGACUGAACAGCCUACCCCAGAACUUCAUGGAGUCUAGUGCUCCGAGCAGGAAUUCCAGAGCCACCCUCAUGCCUGACAGUCAGUCACCUUACCCAAUGCUGCCCCCUCCACCCCAAACACAUGGAACUCAACCCAGGACCCUUGUCAGAGAUCAAAUUCAAGGACCUUAAUCUAAAACAUGACACCUCAAGACUGUUAGAAGAAGAAGUGGGGCAUGGGCUUGAAUGUAUGGCCACUAGCACAGACACUAAGACCCAACAAUUGACAAACUGGACCACAGGAACCUAACCAGCAUCAAUAUAGCAAAAGCUGCCAUCAUUCAAGUGGGGAGGCAGUCUACAGAAUGGCAGGAAGAUCACCAACUACACAUCUGAUAGAGGUCCUUGGAGUUCAUCAUGGAAGAAAAUGAAGUUCGUUGCACUCUCACAUUAUUAGGUGUACACGAAGAAAAACAAUAAACAGGACACCUUGGUGAUCAGUGUGCUUCAUUGAUCAUGGUGGAGAAAAGAGUCGAGAAAGAUACAAAUCAGGCAAACAUUCUGCUGCCCAGCUGAUGAUGAAGAAACUAACCAGUAAAAUCUUCCAGUAAAGAAAAGCACCCACAUUUCAGGGCUAAGUCUCUGUGACCGGGAGAGGUGGGUUGGUUCCGAAGAGAGAGAGCCAGGGGCUGCUCCUGCUUCCUCUGUGCAGACAGGGAACUGUGAUGAAAGUACGUCGCUGGAGCCUUGAUAACCAUGCUGCAUUAUUUCUGCAGCAAGUGGAUGCUCUGCUUUGAUUUCUAGUGGAUGCAAAUUCUAUCCAGGAGGAAUCUGUGAAGUCGAUGGGCAGCGGGGUAUAUUUCUAUCUCAAACCCAUGAAGCAAAAUACUGGGCUAAAUCUGGGAACUAAUGUGACUUUCUACGUUUAAUUUGGGUUUGCCCUUUUGGUUUCGUAUUACUGUAUCACAACAGAAUAGAUUUAGUAGACAAUAAAACAUAAAAGA
Myodes glareolus (Bank vole) is the source of this 1061-nucleotide long non-coding RNA. RefSeq lists it as uncharacterized. The record is from RefSeq and is a predicted model, not a curated record. NCBI's taxonomy places the organism in Eukaryota, Metazoa, Chordata, Mammalia, Rodentia, Cricetidae.